This 802-nucleotide ribosomal RNA is filed under the name bacterium 6F. Its description in RNAcentral is "bacterial SSU rRNA". It matches the Rfam family "Bacterial small subunit ribosomal RNA", at positions 42 to 883 of the family's 1533-position model. The record is from RNAcentral.
GGAUGCGAGCUUACACAUGCAGUCGCACGGUCAGCAAUGGCAGUGGCGGACGGGUGAGUAACGCGUAGGUAUCUAUCCACGGGUGGGGGACAACGUCGGGAAACUGACGCUAAUACCGCAUGAUACCCGAGGGUCAAAGGCGCAAGUCGCCUGUGGAGGAGCCUGCGUACGAUUAGCUUGUUGGUGGGGUAAAGGCCUACCAAGGCGACGAUCGUUAGCUGGUCUGAGAGGAUGAUCAGCCACAUUGGGACUGAGACACGGCCCAAACUCCUACGGGAGGCAGCAGUGGGGAAUAUUGCACAAUGGGCGAAAGCCUGAUCCAUCAAUGCCGCGUGUGUGAAGAAGGUCUUCGGAUUGUAAAGCACUUUCGGCGGGGACGAUGAUGACGGUACCCGCAGAAGAAGCCCCGGCUAACUUCUUGCCAGCAUCCGCGGUUUUUCAAAGGGGGCUAGCGUUGCUCGCAAUGACUGGUCGUAAAGGGCGCCUAGGCGGUUUGUACAGUCAGAUGUGAAAUUCCUGGUCUUAACCUGGGGACUGCAUUUGAGACGUGCAUACUUGUGUGUGGAAAAGGGUCGUGCAAUUCCCAGUGUCUAGGUGAAAUUCUUACAUAUUGGAAUAAACACCGAUGGAGAAGGCUGUCACCUGUUCCCUAUAUGACGCUAAAACUCGAAAACGAGCGCGAGUAAACAAAAUUAAAUACCUUGGCUGUCCACUGAUGCUAACAAUGUGUAGCUGUUUGUUAGCCAACCUUAUUUGCAUACUGGUUUUAAUUCACGCCGUAAACAAUCCCACUUAGGAAUUU